RNAcentral lists this ribosomal RNA (255 nucleotides) under uncultured bacterium. RNAcentral's name for it is "partial small subunit ribosomal RNA". It matches the Rfam family "Bacterial small subunit ribosomal RNA", at positions 26 to 286 of the family's 1533-position model. The record is from RNAcentral.
AGGACGAACGCUGGCGGCGUGCUUAACACAUGCAAGUCGAGCGGAAAGGCCCUUCGGGGUACUCGAGCGGCGAACGGGUGAGUAACACGUGAGCAACCUGCCCUUAGCUCCGGGAUAGCUCCGGGAAACCGGAAUUAAUACCGGAUACGACCACGGCCGACAUCUGUCGUGGUGGAAAGGAUUCCGGCUAGGGAUGGGCUCGCGGCCUAUCAGCUUGUUGGUGGGGUAACGGCCUACCAAGGCGACGACGGGUAG